UGCAAGUCGAACGCGAAAGGGACUUCGGUCCUGAGUAAAGUGGCGGCACGGGUGAGUAACGCGUAGAUAACCUGUCUUCAUGUCUGGAAUAAUACGCCGAAAGGGGUACUAAUACCGGAUAUUCUUGCUUUUCAUAAGUUAUGCAAGCAAAGGUGGCCUCUGCAUAUGCUACUGCAUGAAGAGGGGUCUGCGUACCAUUAGCUAGUAGGUGGGGUAAUGGCCUACCUAGGCGACGAUGGUUAGCGGGUCUGAGAGGAUGAUCCGCCACACUGGCACUGGAACACGGGCCAGACUCCUACGGGAGGCAGCAGUGAGGAAUAUUGCGCAAUGGGGGAAACCCUGACGCAGCGACGCCGCGUGAGUGAGGAAGGCCUUCGGGUCGUAAAGCUCUGUCAAGAGGAAAGAAGUGUACAAUGGCUAAUACCUGUUGUAUUUGACGGUACCUCUAAAGGAAGCACCGGCUAACUCCGUGCCAGCCGCGGC
This 483-nucleotide ribosomal RNA is filed under the name uncultured bacterium. RNAcentral's name for it is "bacterial SSU rRNA". It matches the Rfam family "Bacterial small subunit ribosomal RNA", at positions 56 to 518 of the family's 1533-position model. The record is from RNAcentral.